RNAcentral lists this ribosomal RNA (252 nucleotides) under uncultured bacterium. Its description in RNAcentral is "partial 16S ribosomal RNA". It matches the Rfam family "Bacterial small subunit ribosomal RNA", at positions 524 to 776 of the family's 1533-position model. The record is from RNAcentral.
GACAGAGGGUGCAAACGUUGUUCGGAAUUACUGGGCGUAAAGCGCGUGUAGGCUGUUCUGCAAGUCGGGUGUGAAAGCCCCGGGCUCAACCUGGGAAGUGCACUCGAAACUGCAGAACUCGAGUCCUGGAGAGGAAGGGGAAUUCUCGGUGUAGAGGUGAAAUUCGUAGAUAUCGAGAGGAACACCGGUGGCGAAGGCGGCCUUCUGGACAGUGACUGACGCUGAGACGCGAAAGCGUGGGGAGCAAACAGG